CAAUAGCGUAUAUUAAAGCUGUUGCGGUUAAAAAGCUCGUAGUUGGAUUUCUGUCAAGGACAACUGGUCCGCCCCUCGGGUGAGCACAUAGUUUGGUCUUGGCAUCUUGUUGGAAACUGUUGCUGCACUUGGUUGUGUGGCGCAGUGUCCAGCACUUUCACUUUGAGGAAAUUGGAGUGUUUCAAGCAGGCACAUGCCUUUGGACACAGUAGCAUGGAAUAAUUAGAUUGGGCUUUUGCUCCAACUUGUCGGUUUCUGGAGCUGAGGUGAGAAUUAAUGGGGAUUGUUGGGGGCAUCCGAAUUUAGCCGUCAGAGGUGAAAUUCUUGGAUCUGCUAAAGACGGACAACUGCGAAAGCGUUUGCCCAGGACGUUUUCAUUGA
RNAcentral lists this ribosomal RNA (381 nucleotides) under uncultured eukaryote. RNAcentral describes it as "partial 18S ribosomal RNA". It matches the Rfam family "Eukaryotic small subunit ribosomal RNA", at positions 592 to 976 of the family's 1831-position model. The record is from RNAcentral.